AACUGCUGAAAAUGUUAAACAAACCAGAGCUCUGGCAGGACCCUGCUAGACGCUUCAUCCAAACAUAUCAUCUUACAACUCUGAUAAAAGGAUCUGCUGGAUUUUCUUUUGGCUGAGAUAAUACAUUUGUAUUCAUUGCAACUGAUGUUAAUUAUGGAUCUGCGUAACUGAUACAAACCUCAAUGACACCUUGAGUAAGUUUUGAGCAAUCACACCUUACUUUGUGUUGCAAUGGCCUGGAAGCAUUGUAUUGCUGUGACUCAGCAGAAGGCAGAGGACCUUUUUGCUCAGAAGUUCCCUCCAUGAAAGUCCUCAUUUCUUAUGGAAGGUCUCAUUAUCCCAGUGGAGAUGGUGUGCCCCAGCCAGCUGCAGGCAGAAGAGAGCAUGCAUGGAUGCUGUUUCUCAGAGAAAUCUGGUAGGAGAGUAUGGAUAGACCUGAAACACUUCAGAGAGCUUGAUCUGUAAAUUCUCAGCCCUGUGAUGUGAAAUGAAUGAUUUCAGAUCUCCAUGCAGACUUCAUGGGUGGACCUUAUUUCAGUAGAUGGAACUGACUUACACCCCAAAUAUAAAAAGCCCUAAUGCCGAGAGGUGCAAGAUCUGCACAGAGAGCCAGACCCCAAAUGUAUGCCAAAAUAACAGACAGAAGGAUUUUCUGGAAAAUGCCUCCAAAAAGGUGGUAAUGUCCCACCGAGACAAACAAGAGCCCAUACAUUGGAGCGAGAUACAGGACAGAGAGACCCCAAAGUUCCACAUCUCCUCAGUCACGAAUGCUGUAUUGCCAGGGCAUGGGCUCUGCCCAUCCUGGUAGGCUCAGAGCUAUGGUGGGUUGUGAAAAUCAAGAGCAAACAGCGAGGAAAGACAAGUCUUGUCAGUCUGGAGAAUGAGUUGGUUGAACCACCAGGCCCCGGAUCUAUGGCAGCGGAAGCAACAUUGGAAUUGUGUCUUGCUGUGAGUUCAGCUUCUUUUCCAGACCCUUUUCCGUUCACAUGAAAGCCCUUCAGACUCAAUGGGGAUUUUGCUCUAACAAUAACAACAGACUUAUUCCCAAAGUCACUGGCAUGGGAAUUUUAUUUAGUAACAGCUUUAUUCUUUGUGAGGUCUCCAAGGAAGGCAAUUGUUUUCUUCUGUCUGAUGUUGGAGAUGGAGAUCUAGGGACAGGUGGUGGAUUUCCUUCUCCUUCUGGUCUUGGUGGUUGAGGGAAAGAUCAAGGCCAUUAUUUUCCUUUCACUCUAGUGUCAGUGCAAAUGCAUCCAGAGCUUACUGAGUACACAGAAAUUAUUAGUUUUCAGUGUUUGUUCAAAUGGAUGCUAUUCAAAACAAUCUGCACCAGCAAAAGCAAAUAAUACCCAGUAUGGAUAUUCUGUAAAACCAAAGGAAAAAGAGUAAUUCCUCUAAUUCACAGAACAUGGUUUUGCACGUUGUCUGAAAGCUAUUAUAAUUUUACAGUUAUUUACGCAUAAUAAAUCUAGAGUUGGAAGAGAAACUCAAGGCCAGCGAGGUAUUUGCCAUCAGACUAGCGUGCACAGCAGCUCAAGGCAGUUGCUCAGAGCUGUUCACAUUCCCCUUGUGCUGCACUGCACUGGUGCGAUGCCAGCAAGAGCACCUUUCCCUCAGAUGUUGGAGGAGUGGGGAGGAACAAGGAACAAGUAGCACGUCUGCCAGCACUAAAGAGGUAAACCGACACCGGAACUCAGCCUUUCUGUAAAAUAACUCUUGCUAAUAUCAUCAUGUGUUACAGAGAUUGAAAAUCAGAUUAAGGUAAUUGAGAGUAGUCAGGCAGCAUAGCAGUGUGUGCAAAGAGUUUAGUAAAAAAAAAAGUUGUAAGGAAAAUAUGGCUGUUAGGGUUUGGUUUGCCUUUCCAUUAGAAAGGAAAAAUGAAACUAAAAGGUGGUUUUAUGCUAUACUCUCCUGUGGGUGUAAGUAUACAGGAAACGACCCAGCUGAUUAGGCCAGAUGGCAAGGAUGAAAACCGGUGUGCAGACACUGCACAGCAAAAACUGGAAUUAUGAAAAUGGUGAUGCUGUAUUUUGCCACAUAACACGCGUCCUUCUCGGCUGGACCCCAGGCACCUUGUGCCAGUUACCGUGACGCUGACGAGAUGCCAGCACCCCAUGCAAGCCAAAAGCCAUGGGGCAGGCAUGGGUGCGAUGGUUCCUGGGAUGGGCAGUCACUCAGGCCUGAUCAUGCAGGGGGAGGCGCAGAGCCCAGGAGGUGGCUGGUGAUGCUCUGCCAGCCAGUUCUGGGCUCUGGGAUGGUCACACAAGGAAAAUGCCUGUGCUACCUCCUGCGGGCGGUGUCUGAGGGUUUGGCUGGGUUUCAGUGGCGAGGCACUGACAUUUGCUGGAAAAUAUGCUUCUUAAUGUGAGACGUUCUCCUGAACUUUCUCCUGGCUUAAGAUUUCUGCUGCUUCCAGAAACACUGUUUCUGCCUCAAAAAGGCCUAGCAAAUGCUUUGUGAAUAGCUCAGAUGACAAAAUAUCAUCAUUGUUUUCUUUCCCUUCAGUAUUGGGCCCUAUCAUGUGAGGAACUCUGCCAGCAUAGAGGUAGGCAGCAUCCUUCCCUUGCAAUUUGGUUACAAAAAUUGGUAUCUAAUUAUGUGGGCCCGGCGUGCCCCGUCAGUCUCCGAUUUGGCCAAGCUCCCGAUGGAUGCCUGCCCUAGGUUGGCUGCUCCCACGCGCCCGCCAGUGUGGGUGGAUAAAUGACUCAGAUAAAAUUUGACUGACUGGUAGAAACCUGGUCUGGGGGUAAUUCAAGACAGGGACUUGGGGGAGUCUGUUGUGUUAUCAAACCUGGGCAGAUGUGGCAAACAGCUUUGUGAGAGUGCUCUUUCACCAGCUUGCUAAUAUCCUGGCCAGAAUUCAGUACUCACUGAUCUCAUAGUUUGUUACCUGAGAUUAAUCUUUAUUUUGGAAAAAGUCUGUGAAAAAGAAGGUAUCUCUUUCUAGCGCUGUAUAGGAAAAAAAUAAUUUAACCUCAGAAGCUAGAUCCUCUACUGGCAGAUGUCAGCAUGAGUCCAUUGUCCUAAAUCAUUAUUAUUAUGACCUGGUAUGUCUGAGAUAUGAAACAAGAUUUUGUUGUUAAAUGGAAAAUGUUGAAGUCAGUGGCAGAAGUCUUGUUGGAAAAAAAAAAAAAAGUCACAACAAAAAAACCCAAAACACAUGUUCCAAUUUACAGGUCAGUUGAUAUCCUCCCCCGAGGCUGCCUUAAUUUCUAGUUUGGGCAUGUCAAUAAAUCAAUGCCACAAGCCAUCAGUGAGGCAGUAUCCAGCAAAGCAGCUGCCAUAUGAACACCAUGCUCAGAAUCCAAGCAUGUAUAUAGCCAAAAAUCUCUCAGUACGUUUUCUUACUUCAUUAGUUUCUGUUUUGCAUAAAAAUAGCUGUCAUUUCUGCAAUGAAUAAUCAUGUCUGCCUUGAGAUAGAUAUGUCUACGUGAUAAGUUUGUUAAAUAAUAAUGAGAGGAAAUAAGUUCCUGUGUGGAACCUUUAAUGCAAUUCUGUUAUGGUACUUUUUCUUGUUAAUAGAUGUCCUUUAAGCGCUAUUUUUUGUGCGUGUUAUACGUAGGUGAAGAAGCAGUUGAUAAAACAAUAACAUCAUUAAAAAAAAAAAAAAAGUGAUGACUUUAUGCUUACACAUCCCAGGAUAAUAUCACAGCUAUGAUUAAUAGAGGGUUGUAACACAAAUAAGACUCUAUGGAGACUUUCUGCCUCAUGCUGUGUACAUUUUUCACUGCUGUGCAGUGGCUAUAAAAUGCUCUCUUAUGGGAUCCUUACGGUUUGAUUUUCCUCUACUUUGUGUUAUGAGAUGAAUGCACUUGAGCAGGUGAAUUCAAGUCAUUACCAUGUCUGGACUCCUGCUGUCCAUUCAAUCUGCAGCGUUGCAAAUAACUGCACGAUCUGCAAGGCCAGGAGAGUUGUGACUUGGUUAUGCUGGAAAGAAGGGAGCUGGGAAAGGAUGUUCUCCCAGUGCACCCCAAAGUGCACCCUGAAACCUUGCUCCAAGAAGAUAAAAAUGUCAGGAAGACAGGAAGAUGGGUGACAAAAGCAUCAGAAUUUCUUCAGCCUUCAAAGACCAGCACAAUACCUUCUCAGAUCUCUGAAAACAUCUGUAACUUUUGAAAUCUGAAGUGGUCAGGAUCAAAAAAGGUAUUAUGGGUACUGACUGCCUGAAACCUAUCAUGCUGGACACUUCCUGCAAAGGUUAAAUUAAACAAGUAGUUCCCGGAGCAGAGGAACUAACACCACCCGGUUUCCUCCAACCUGUCUCACAAGAUCUCUUCCUCCUCUGGAUUCUCUGUCUCAGACAGAAAAAGCACAUGGUAAGGCUUGUAUGUUAGGGGAGACAUAAAGAACAACAAAUGAUUUCUCUUCCUGGUCACCGAGGUGCAAAAAAUAAAUCUCGAGGUAUUGGAGACUGCGACCCUCCCUGUCAAAUCUGGCUGAGACGAGUAAUGAGAGUUACCAGUGGGGAACAGAAACAGACAAACGCAGCAUGACUGUAUAGACAUUGUUUCCUUAGGAAACUGGGCUCAAAACAAAGCGCACAAAUCUGGUAUAUUUAUAGUGAAAGAGGUGGGGGGCUUUCCUUUCCAGAGGAAAUGGACUGCUUUCCUGGGCCUGAUCCUCACAUUACUGGAAACUACUUCAGUUCACACUGACUGCAGAUCCUGUCCUGCUCUUCCCGAUCCAGGAACCUGUGUAAGUUCUGGAAGAAGUCAGCAGUGCCUGUAGCACUACCAGAAGAUACCUCAGGUGCUCCACAGUAACGUUUAUUUCUGUAUUAAUACUAUGCCUAAAGUAUGUAUAGGAUAUUUAUGAUGUAUCCAAGAGUCAGUCAACUGAGCUGAAAAUCAGGGAAAGAGAAAGGAUCAUACUGAAGACAAGUUACCUCAGCUCCAGCUCUAUCCCAUGCUACAACUUAGCAGACAGACUACACUGCCAAGUACAAAUUCGUACCUUUUUGGUGGCAUGGUGGUAGCUUCCUGCAAGAGUUUUUGGUUCUCCUAGGCGGGAGGAAAUGUAGGAAGAGGAGGGCAAGAUUGAGGCAAAUUCAACCCAAAGUCCCUCUGAGAAAGCAGAGACCAGGCAGACUGUUUCUCCUCUCAGAUGUGAAGUUUCCUCCCCAGGGGGAAAGAAGAAUUGGGCGAGCUAAAAGAGGCAGUAUUGUUAAGCAAGGUAAAACACUUGGAAAUCUAGAAUUUUUCUGCUCUACCACAAACUUUCCAAUCUCUACGUACCGCAGAUGCAGCCCAACCUCUCAGGAAGCCAAGACGUAGAUACUGGGAUACUGAACACCAAAGACACCUAUUAAAUCUAGUCCCUGACAAUGCAACAUUGUUCCCAAUUUUAAAUUUGUUGGAGUUCCUUUGUAUUUUGGGUUCUUGUUUUUAGAAUUGGCUGUGGACAGGUUUUCUGCUUUGUACUCAAAAUACCCAAACUGGGCUUAAGUUACUAGUUAAACAUUAUGAAGUGUCUUUUAAAGACCUGUAAAGUACAGAGUUACUUGUUAUAUAGCUAGGCUUUUGUUAUUUGGCCUUUCAUCCAGAAGUUUUUGAAAAGCCAAGAACAAAAUGUCUUUCCUCAUUGAUACCCUGAUCUUAUGUCUACUGAUCACAAAUGCAGAUUAGAGUAAAACUCUCUGCUCUAGCUGGUACUGGGUGUUUCUUGACAGUCCCCUAUAGCCAAAUACCUAAUAGCCUUUUUUUUUUCUUUUUUCCUUCUUUUUCCAGGAGGUGAUUCCAAGAGUAAAACAAAGCAUAGUUUUCAGAGAUAUUUCUGAUUUGCCAGCCUGAUUCCUCUAUUACUCCUCCAUGAAUUCUCACAGCCAUACUUUUCUGGCCCUUGUGUAGGGCUGUAUGUGAGAUAAUCUUACCUGAUCAUUUCAGUUAAUUCUAAAAUGAUCCUGAAGCAAGUUUUACCAUAAAACAAAACAAAAGAAUUUCUCACAGUGUGCUCUUGCAUCUUUGCGCUGACUCAAAUAGCAUGUGCAGGCCUGUCUCUGUGUUUAAAGGUAGCCAAUACUGUCCAAUCACAGUUUUGUGCCCAGAACCAAUACACCUCCUUAACAAUAAUUUCUGAAAUUUUCUCCACGAGUCUUGUCCAGUAUUUGCUGACUUGAGCCAUCAUCAGCACAAAUGUAUUGUGGUGUUCAGUGAAUGUCUAAGGUGUUAACCCAUCACGGGCUCACUAUACAUAGCAGCAGACUACAGCAGAGGAGCUCUUUGUGGUUGUGAGCAAAAGUUAAUAGAAGGUGUAUCUUCCUCUUCCUUUGGUACUCAUUGUUCUUCCUGACACCGACUUUUUGUUGCUUUUCAUUAGGAUCCAUUUAAGAAUUAGCAGCCUGAUCGCCUUUCUUCGUAUAAUGUCACGUACGUUAUGGCUCAGUGGUGAGGCAUGCUGUCUUUCAACAGAAGUGCUAGCACAUUCUGGGAAUGGUGUCAUGGAGCUAAUUGGACAACUUGCUUUCAGUUGUACUGGAUUUUUUAAAGUCAGGUCUGAACACAUCUCAGUACAACUCUAUAAUCAGGAUUAAAAGCAAAGGCCUCAUCCUUUUCUGGCUUCUACUGGACUAAGUGAAGACAGCAUUUGGAGUCAGUGUAGCUGUAUGAGUGCAAGUGGAUUGUAAGACUCAGUACUUUGAGAUUUGUAUCAAAGGUGUUUUUAAUAGCCUGCAGUUUUCUUGGCAUGAACUGCUUUCAUGACUCAAGACAUACAUGGUGGGCUGAAUUUAUGCUGUGUGCAGGUUUCAUUCAGGUGGGAUUUAAUGCGAAACUUGUAAAUGUUCACAUGCGUAUGCACUGGCCUAUGCUGUGUAACUGCCACCAGAGCCACAUACAGGAAUUUCUCUGAAUCAAGGUGCUAUCUGGGAGUAUUAGUGUUGGCAAGGCCAAAUACAGAAGCCUUGUACAGUCACUUGUGCAACACAUGGCUGGAAACAUGCCCUCCACAGUACAUCCAGCCUCUCCCAUUAAAUCCAUGCCUGAGUGAGGAUGUGAUGUACUGCAGUGACCAUUAGUGCAGACACGUGUGUGUAUCUGUACUCAGACUGUGAGUGGGAAUAACAACAUGUAGACGAUAAAGAUGAAGUUUCAUUCACAGACAAUGGAUUUGGAGUCCUUCAAUAAAACAGAACACCGUGGAUAAAAA
Long non-coding RNA from Anas platyrhynchos (mallard), 7140 nucleotides. RefSeq lists it as uncharacterized. NCBI's taxonomy places the organism in Eukaryota, Metazoa, Chordata, Aves, Anseriformes, Anatidae. The record is from RefSeq and is a predicted model, not a curated record.